AUACGGAGGAUGCAAGCGUUAUCCGGAUUUAUUGGGUUUAAAGGGUGCGCAGGCGGGACUGUAAGUCAGGGGUGAAAUACUGCAGCUUAACUGUAGCAUUGCCUUUGAAACUGCCGUUCUUGAGUACAGUUGAGGCAGGGGGAAUGUGGUUUGUAACGGUGGAAUGCAUAGAUAUAACACAGAAAGCCGAUUGCGAAGGCAGCUUACUAAGCUGUUACUGACGCUGAGGCACGAAAGCGUGGGGAUCAAGCAGGAUUAGAUACCCUGGUAGUCCACGCUGUAAACGAUGAUUACUGGUUGUUAGCGAUAUAUAGCUAGUGACUGAGCGAAAGCAUUAAGUAAUCCACCUGGGGAGUACGUCGGCAACGAUGAAACUCAAAGGAAUUGACGGGG
Molecule: ribosomal RNA, 393 nt
Filed under: uncultured bacterium
Lineage: Bacteria
Description: partial 16S ribosomal RNA
Rfam family: Bacterial small subunit ribosomal RNA
Source: RNAcentral